This 661-nucleotide ribosomal RNA is filed under the name uncultured archaeon. RNAcentral's name for it is "bacterial SSU rRNA". It matches the Rfam family "Archaeal small subunit ribosomal RNA", at positions 193 to 859 of the family's 1478-position model. The record is from RNAcentral.
GCUGAGGCGCCCAAGGAUAGGUCUGCGGCCGAUUAGGUUGUUGUUGAUGUAAUGGAUCAACAAGCCUGCAAUCGGUACGGGUUGUGAGAGCAAGAGCCCGGAGAUGGGUUCUGAGAAAAGAACCCAGGUCCUACGGGACGCAUCAGGCGCGAAAACUUUACAAUGUGCGAAAGCACGAUAAGGGAACUCUGAGUGCCUCCUAUGGAGGCUGUUCAGGUGUCUAAAAAGCACUUGAAGUAAGGGCUGGGUAAGACCGGUGCCAGCCGCCGCGGUAACACCGGCAGCCCAAGUGGUAGCCACGAUUAUUGGGUCUAAAGCGUCCGUAGCCGGCCAGGUAAGUUCUUUGGGAAAUUUAACCGCUCAACGGUUAAGCUUUCAGGGAAUACUGCUUGGCUUGGGACCGGGAGAGGUCAGAGGUACUUCAAGGGUAGGGGUGAAAUCCGUUAAUCCUUGAGGGACCACCAGUAGCGAAGGCGUCUGACCAGACCGGGUCCGACGGUGAGGGACGAAGGCUAGGGUCGCGAACCGGAUUAGAUACCCGGGUAGUCCUAGCUGUAAACGAUGCGGGCCAGGUGUUGGCAUUACUGCGAGUGAUGUCAGUGCCGAAGGGAAGCCGUUAAGCCCGCCAUCUGGGGAGUACGGUCGCAAGGCUGAAACUUAA